AAUCUAUGGGGUGGGAACUUCCUUAGCAUUGACUUGAAAUGAUCUUAUGCUUCGUACAAGGAUUCACCUUCAUAUUUCUUAAAAUUGGUGAUUUCUCGCCUAAGUUG
This is a small nucleolar RNA of Gossypium raimondii (Peruvian cotton), 107 nucleotides long. It matches the Rfam family "Plant small nucleolar RNA R71". From Rfam's summary of the family: R71 is a member of the C/D box family of snoRNAs containing the C (UGAUGA) and D (CUGA) box motifs. Multiple nearly identical copies of this snoRNA have been identified in Arabidopsis, and it is thought to function as a 2'-O-ribose methylation guide for 18S ribosomal RNA. The record is from Rfam. NCBI's taxonomy places the organism in Eukaryota, Viridiplantae, Streptophyta, Magnoliopsida, Malvales, Malvaceae.